GUCAAAAGAAAAUAUAAACAGAGUAAAAGAAGGCACUGUUUUUGUUAGUUGGAACCUGAAUUCUAGUAAGGAUCACAAAGAAAUCCAUUAAUGACAAAUCAGUCCUCUUCUUCUCCUUCUCCAAUUCUCUGUGCUUCUUUCAACCAGGAUUACAGUGGAUUUUCAAUUGGAACACGAGAUGGAUUCAAAAUAUUUGAUUCUGAUAGUGGAAGACUUUGUUAUUGUAGAGCUAUGGGAGCAUUUAACAUUGUAGAAAUGAUGUUCGGCUCAAGUCUACUUGCCAUUGUAGGGGCAGGAGAGCAGCCAUCAUUAUCUCCGCGACGGCUAUGUCUUUUCAAUACUAAAACUGGAGCUGCAGCUAGAGAACUAAAUUUCUUGACUUCAAUCCUUGCUGUUCGUUUAAAUAUGAAAAGGCUCAUCGUCUUAUUGCAAGAUAAGACUUACAUAUAUGAUCUGAAUAGUCUUGCUAUACUGGAUACCAUUGAUACAGUGUCAAAUCCAAAGGGACUUUGUGCAUUCUCCCCAAAUUCAGUAAGCUGCUACUUAGCUCUUCCUGCGAGUACGACAAAAGGGUCUGUGCUUCUUUAUAAUGUAAUGGAACUCCAGUCGCAUUGUGAGAUAGAAGCUCAUCGCUCACCAUUGGCUGCAAUCGCCCUUUCAUCCAACGGAUUAUACAUAGCAACAGCUUCUGAGCAGGGAACCAUAAUCAGAGUACAUCUGGUUACUCAAGCAACUAAGUCUUAUGGUUUUCGGAGGGGAACCUAUCCGUCAGCCAUAUAUUCCCUCUCAUUUGGGCCGUCAAUGCAGCUUCCAGAUAUACUGGUUGCCACAAGCUCAUCAGGUUCUGUGCAUGUUUUCUCUCUUGCAUUCAUGAUAAACCAAAGAAGCAAAAGAUCUAGCAGCCUUCUUGGAUCAAUGAUUCCAAAUAAAAUAAAUGAUGCUUUUGAACCUGCCCAUCAUUAUGUUCUUCCCAAUGCAGUCCCAGCAGGAGUAAAAAGUUAUGUAAUGAUCCGAGGUCGAGGUGCAGACACAGUUGCAGGCAUAUCUCCUCUAUCGCAGCCUGUCAUUUCCCAUUUCAACCGUAUAAGAUGGCAAUCAGGUGCGCAAGAAUCCGAAGGAUGUAUAUUUGUCUGAUCGUAGGAACUUGAUUUUGAGAAAGUUGGAGCGGAUACUUUCAACAAUACAAGUUUAGUAUCAACCAUGCAAGCAGCGGCUCAUGGAGUUUGGAACGCGAACUAAAUCUACUAACUGCUAUUUUAGAUAAUGUUUCCUAAGAGAAGUAAGAAUUAGACACGCAGCUGAAUCAGGAUUUCACCGCUACUCGCACUUCCUAUCAAGGGAAAGGAUAGAAAAGGCAAAAAUAGAGGAGUUACAUAGAGUUAAAUAUCAAAACUCUUAGCAUUAUCAUUUGUGUAUAUAUUUUUGUAUCGUCUUAUCAUAGAUUGAUAUCUGGAUUGGUUUUAUCUUCUUGUGAGUAACAAAAUUGUGGUGAUA
RNA transcript from Papaver somniferum (opium poppy), 1494 nucleotides. It is a transcript of the gene named autophagy-related protein 18b-like, with no coding region annotated. The record is from RefSeq and is a predicted model, not a curated record. The transcript has 13 exons. Lineage: Eukaryota; Viridiplantae; Streptophyta; Magnoliopsida; Ranunculales; Papaveraceae.